RNAcentral lists this unclassified non-coding RNA (246 nucleotides) under Hevea brasiliensis (rubber tree). Lineage: Eukaryota; Viridiplantae; Streptophyta; Magnoliopsida; Malpighiales; Euphorbiaceae. The record is from RNAcentral.
UUUUACUUGAUGACUUUGAGGGUUGACCAGUAUAUUUUGAGGCUUAAUAUCACGAUGGCACACCCCUAGAGCACCAUGAAUGUAAGCAAGACCACGACAAAUCUGGUAUGUAUAUAGUUGGAUGUAAAUGAGAGGCAUAUGCUGUUUAUUUCCAUGAUAAUGCUUUACCAUGCGAUAAAUAGUCUCCGGGACAUAUUCAAGUACAAGGUUUAGGUACAACUCAUCGUUGUCGGUUGUCGAAAAGAA